AUGUCCCGGGAGGCAGGGCCAGGGACCUUCGAGCAACUAGAGGCUUACCACUGGGACUUCCUGCUGGGGAAGAGCAAUCCCUGGGGGUUUUGUGGCCCGAGACCCGCCAGAAAUAACUUUCUCGUCAGGAAAGUGAGCAGCUCUACGUAUGACGUUGGAGAAGAGUACCGGAAUAUUCUUGUCUCAUUUAUUUCAAGGCACUUUCCAUCAAAAGGUGCAAAUAGAAAUAAAGCUACUUGGUCUGCUCUAACAGGAAAAGUCUACAUGUAAAUCCUUGGAGGGGGUUUCUAGGCACUAACAGACCAUGGAUAAGCAAGCAGUUCUAUUUGACGUUCUCCAGAGUCACUGGUAUCUGUGGCAUCAGCUAAGCUACUGACUGAAAUGUUGGUAAAUUGUCAACUCCUUGUCUUACAGCCACUGAACAUUUUAUGCAUGCAACAAGCCUCCUGUGUAUUUGUGGAUAAUCCCUACAGAGAGAACUUCCAUUACUAUACAUCUCAUGCCCUCUAAUUUUAAGAACACGUCAAAGUGAUUAGCUAUAUAAGUAAUCAUAUAUAUAUAUUAACAAAAGAUACAAAUAUGUUAGCUAUCUGGUACUUUUUCAUAUAAGAAAAGAUCUUAUGUAUAAUAUAGCCUUGGUUGGACUGGAAAAACCCUUCCUCAGCCUUGUAAAUGCUGUAAUUGCAGGCAGGAGCCACCAUGCCUGGCUUUAUAUGGUGCUUUAAAAACAAACACUUAAUCUUCGAUACUCCUUCCCAACUUCUGCUUCAUUUAAUCUAUUAGCUACCUGAAAAUUAAAACUUCCUUUCCCUCUGCCUUAAAAAAAGAAGUGUGUGUAUGUGUGUGUGUGUAUUCUUGUGCCUGCCUGCCUAUGUGUAUGUGGAGGCCAAAGAGGACAUCAGAUUCCUUGGAACUGAAGUGACAGGAAUUUGGGGGAUGCCUGACUUUUGUGGGUGCCGGACUCUGGUCUUCAUGAUUAUUUGUCAUGUCUUCUUAACCAAAGGCACGUCUCUCCUGAAACUCCUCUACCUUAUUCUUAUCCUUACGCCAGAUGGGAGGUUACAUCUCACAAUGAUGUUAAAAAGCCACCUGUCCAGGAGGUAAGGAAAGCUCUGCUCACUCCUUACUCACAGACCAGAAGAGCAGUGAAGGGUCAUAAUGACAGCAACAACUUCAUCCUUGAGUCUGUCACUAAUGUGAUCCUAAGGCAAAUACUGCCAAAGUACCUGCCCUCUGCAGUAGAAGCAGAGAGCUGGAAGACACUUCAUUCCAUCCCAACAAGAACAGAAUCCUGUGGGUAAAAAACAGAUACCAAUGAACAAUACUGAAGUAGGGAACAAGAUAGAGACAGCUGGUCAGCUGUGUUAUCUGAGCAGCUCAGGUGCCAGAAACUUUUGAAUAAAUGUAGUCUGACCUAGCUAGUCA
This 1425-nucleotide long non-coding RNA is filed under the name Mus spicilegus (steppe mouse). Its description in RNAcentral is "lncRNA (ENSMSIG00000017821.1)". The record is from RNAcentral. Lineage: Eukaryota; Metazoa; Chordata; Mammalia; Rodentia; Muridae.